RNAcentral lists this ribosomal RNA (429 nucleotides) under Fusobacteriota bacterium. Its description in RNAcentral is "Fusobacteria bacterium partial 16S ribosomal RNA". It matches the Rfam family "Bacterial small subunit ribosomal RNA", at positions 355 to 776 of the family's 1533-position model. Lineage: Bacteria; Fusobacteriati; Fusobacteriota. The record is from RNAcentral.
UGGGGAAUCUUCCGCAAUGGACGAAAGUCUGACGGAGCAACGUCGCGUGAGUGAAGACGGCCUUCGGGUUGUAAAGCUCUGUGAUCCGGGACGAAAGAGCCUGAGGUAAAUAGCCUAAGGAAGUGACGGUACCGGAAAAGCAAGCCACGGCUAACUACGUGCCAGCAGCCGCGGUAAUACGUAGGUGGCAAGCGUUGUCCGGAAUUAUUGGGCGUAAAGCGCGCGCAGGCGGCUUACUAAGUCCAUCUUAAAAGUGCGGGGCUUAACCCCGUGAUGGGAUGGAAACUGGAAAGCUUGAGUAUCGGAGAGGAAAGUGGAAUUCCUAGUGUAGCGGUGAAAUGCGUAGAGAUUAGGAAGAACACCGGUGGCGAAGGCGACUUUCUGGACGAAAACUGACGCUGAGGCGCGAAAGCGUGGGGAGCAAACAGG